AUUAAAUUAAAUCACUUAAAAAUGAAAAAAAGCAGUCACUGCACAUCUAUUUUACAGACAAACAACAUGAAACUGAUCUCUGCACAGGGACAGUCUGUGAAACUCCUGUGGUUGAAGAGAUGAAGGUCAGAGCACAUGUCCUUGUGAAUGAGAAGAAAGGGUAUGAGUAAGCAAGGAAGGAGGGAGGAAAGGAAGAAAAGGAAGACAGAUCUGUCCGUCAAUUGUUUAUUUUACAUUAAAUUCUUAAUGGAAAACUUGACAACACAUGUGUUCAUCUUCGUGUUAUCUUUCCAGAUGUUAGGCAGCUGGAGCAAAAACAUAACUAGGUAAGGGGCUGCAGUGAAGGGGACAAAAGGGCAAAAGCAGCAAGUUUUUAUACAAAUUUAAAGGUUGAAAUCUUUAAAUAAAUCUUUCCUACGGAGUUGCAGAGAGCAGUAGGCUGCCACACUUAAGAGUAUAAUUAAAAGUUUUCCAGAAAGCAAAAGAGGAAAUGAUCAGGCUAACUGAUAAAUCCUAUUCUUUAAGAAAAAAGGUAGUGU
This is a long non-coding RNA of Herpailurus yagouaroundi (jaguarundi), 539 nucleotides long. RefSeq lists it as uncharacterized. Lineage: Eukaryota; Metazoa; Chordata; Mammalia; Carnivora; Felidae. The transcript has 3 exons. The record is from RefSeq and is a predicted model, not a curated record.